RNAcentral lists this long non-coding RNA (724 nucleotides) under Marmota monax (woodchuck). Lineage: Eukaryota; Metazoa; Chordata; Mammalia; Rodentia; Sciuridae. The record is from RNAcentral.
CAGUACUGUUAGCAGUGUCUAGAUAUACAGAUUCCUUAACAUUCUUGCCCAAACCUGAUAUUGCCUGUUUCUUUUUAAGUUUUGCCUCUUUUGUAAGCACUUUAAAACCUUUUUAAAAGAUCUUUCAUAUUUAUGUAUCACUAAGGAGUACAUUCGUAACUGUUAGGGAUUGAAUAGUGUUCCCCCAGAUUCAAAUAUUGAAGCCCUAACCCCCACUACCUUAGAACUGGACUGAAUUUAAAGAUGGAGCAUUUAAAGUUGUUAUUACAUUUAAAGGAAGUGGUUUGUAUCUGCUCCAAGUCAAUAUCAUUGAUGUGUUUCAUAAGAUUAGCCCAUAAGGGAGUGGGGUGGGGAUCAUACACAGGCACACAGAGAUGUUCCUGUGAAGAUUCCUGAAGAUGCACAGUCAUCUACUAGGCAAGGAGAGAAGGGAAUCAGAAUGUCAGCUCCUUAGACCUCUAGCCUCCAGAAUUGGGAAGAAAUGAAUUCCUUUUGUUUUAUCCUCCCAUUUUGUGGUAUUUGCAGCUCUAGUAAACUCAUACAUUUUUAGACAAUCUUCUUAAAUUAUUGCUGAGUAGCUAGUACACUUACAUUACAUCAGUGGAGCCAGGCACAAUGGUACAUGUGUAUAAUCCAAGGUAUUUGGGAGGCUGGGGUAGGAAGAGAGGCUGAAGGAGGAGGAUUGCAUGUUUGAGGCCACACAUAGCAAUUUAGUGAUAUCCUG